This 228-nucleotide unclassified non-coding RNA is filed under the name fungal sp. RNAcentral's name for it is "partial internal transcribed spacer region". The stretch from base 1 to 46 matches the Rfam family "Eukaryotic small subunit ribosomal RNA", at positions 1786 to 1831 of the family's 1831-position model. Lineage: Eukaryota; Fungi. The record is from RNAcentral.
AAGUCGUAACAAGGUUUCCGUAGGUGAACCUGCGGAAGGAUCAUUGACAAAUCUAAACAAACACGCACCUGUGAAUUAGCUGGUAGUCACCCCCCCCAAGGGGUGACUAUUAGUUAGUGGGUGAGAGGGUAGGGUAACCAACCGACCUCCUCUCCCACACACAUUUACGCUAUUGUCUUACACACAACAAACACACACAACUUUUAGCAAUGGAUCUCUUGGCUUCUG